This 433-nucleotide ribosomal RNA is filed under the name uncultured bacterium. Its description in RNAcentral is "partial 16S ribosomal RNA". It matches the Rfam family "Bacterial small subunit ribosomal RNA", at positions 29 to 507 of the family's 1533-position model. The record is from RNAcentral.
AGCGAACGCUGGCGGCAGGCCUAACACAUGCAAGUCGAACGAACUCUUCGGAGUUAGUGGCGGACGGGUGAGUAACACGUGGGAACGUGCCUUUAGGUUCGGAAUAACUCAGGGAAACUUGUGCUAAUACCGAAUGUGCCCUUCGGGGGAAAGAUUUAUCGCCUUUCGAGCGGCCCGCGUCUGAUUAGCUUGUUGUUUAGGUAAAGGCUCACCAAGGCGACGAUCAGUAGCUGGUCUGAGAGGAUGAUCAGCCACAUUGGGACUGAGACACGGCCCAAACUCCUACGGGAGGCAGCAGUGGGGAAUCUUGCGCAAUGGGCGAAAGCCUGACGCAGCCAUGCCGGGUGAAUGAUGAAGGUCUUAGGAUUGUAAAAUUCUUUCACCGGGGACGAUAAUGACGGUACCCGGAGAAGAAGCCCCGGCUAACUUCGUG